Molecule: ribosomal RNA, 446 nt
Filed under: uncultured bacterium
Lineage: Bacteria
Description: bacterial SSU rRNA
Rfam family: Bacterial small subunit ribosomal RNA
Source: RNAcentral
UCCCAGACUCCUACGGGAGGCAGCAGUCGGGAAUAUUGCGCAAUGGAGGAAACUCUGACGCAGUGACGCCGCGUAUAGGAAGAAGGUUUUCGGAUUGUAAGCUAUUGUCGUGAGGGAAGAAAUUGACAGUACCUCAGGAGGAAGCUCCGGCUAACUAUGUGCCAGCAGCCGCGGUAAUACAUAGGGAGCAAGCGUUAUCCGGAUUUACUGGGUGUAAAGGGAGCGUAGACGGCAUGGCAAGUCAGAUGUGAAAGCCCGGGGCUCAACCCCGGGACUGCAUUUGAAACUGUCAGGCUGGAGUGCAGGAGAGGUAAGUGGAAUUCCUAGUGUAGCGGUGAAAUGCGUAGAUAUUAGGAGGAACACCAGUGGCGAAGGCGGCUUACUGGACUGUAACUGACGUUGAGGCUCGAAAGCGUGGGGAGCAAACAGGAUUAGAUACCCGAGUA